GUGCUCGCUUUGGCAGCACAUACACUAAAAUUGGAACGAUACAGAGAAGAGUAGCUUGGCCCCAGCACAAAGAUGACACGCACAUUCGUGAAGCCUUCCAUGUUUUU
Molossus molossus (Pallas's mastiff bat) is the source of this 107-nucleotide small nuclear RNA. The record is from RefSeq and is a predicted model, not a curated record. NCBI's taxonomy places the organism in Eukaryota, Metazoa, Chordata, Mammalia, Chiroptera, Molossidae.